Molecule: ribosomal RNA, 301 nt
Filed under: uncultured bacterium
Lineage: Bacteria
Description: partial 16S ribosomal RNA
Rfam family: Bacterial small subunit ribosomal RNA
Source: RNAcentral
CAGUCGCCACGGUAAUACGUAGGGUGCAAGCGUUAAUCGGAAUUACUGGGCGCAAAGCGUGCGCAGGCGGUUCGUUAAGACAGAUGUGAAAUCCCCGGGCUUAACCUGGGAACUGCAUUUGUGACUGGCGGGCUAGAGUAUGGCAGAGGGGGGUAGAAUUCCACGUGUAGCAGUGAAAUGCGUAGAGAUGUGGAGGAAUACCGAUGGCGAAGGCAGCCCCCUGGGCCAAUACUGACGCCCAUGCACGAAAGCGUGGGGAGCAAACAGGAUUAGAUACCCCGGGUAGUCCCUGUCUCUUAUA